RNAcentral lists this long non-coding RNA (1050 nucleotides) under Callithrix jacchus (white-tufted-ear marmoset). RNAcentral describes it as "lncRNA (ENSCJAG00000074814.1)". The record is from RNAcentral. Lineage: Eukaryota; Metazoa; Chordata; Mammalia; Primates; Cebidae.
CACACACACACAUAUACACCUACACAUAUCCAAACAUACAGAGACGCAUAUAGAGACAUACACGGGCACACACAACACAUACACACAGAUAUAGAGAGAUACACAGAGUUAUACACACAAACCAACACUUAUACAGACAUACACAUGCACAGAGACACACAUAGAUAUACCCAGAUACCCACAGAUACACUCACACUUACACAGACAGACACACUCUUUUGUAGGAGGCUUUUACAACUCAGCACUAAGGACGCUGGUCUCACUCAUGAUUCCUUGUAAGAAAAUAAUUUCUUUGUGGAGAGUCAACAUAUUCGGUUCAAUACAGCAAAUAGCCCCUGCAGUGGGUUGAACCACGUCUUCCAAAAAGCCACUUUCAAGUCCUAACCGUGGUACCAGGAAUGUGACCUGAUUGGAAAACAGGGUCUUUGCAGAUGUAAUAAGGUGAAGAUGAGAUCACACUGGAUUAGAGGGUGAUGUGGUUUGGCUGUGUCCCCACCCACAUCUCAUCUCACAUUGUAUUCACCAUAAUCCCCAAGUGUUGAGGGAGUGACCUGGUAGGAGGUGUUUGGAUCAUGGGAGCGGUUUCCCUCAUGCUGUCCUUGUGAUAGUGAGGGAGUUCUCACGGGAGCUGAUGGUUUUAUAAAUGGCAGUUUCUCCUGGGCUUUUCUCUCACUCACCUGCAGCUUUGUGAAGAAGGUACCUCCUUCCCCUUCUGCCAUGAUUGGUCUUGCUCUGUUGCCCAGGCUGGACUGCACUGACACAUUCAUGGCUCACUGCAGCCUCCAUUCCCUGGCCUCAAACAGUCAUCCAUCCUCAGUCUCCUCAGUAGCUGGGACCACAGGUGUGUGCCACCAUGCCCUGCUAUUUUUUUAUUUUUUGUAGAGAUGGGGUCUCAUUAUGUUGCCCAGGCUGGUCUUGAGCUCCUGAACUCAAAGUGAUCCUCCUGUCUUGGCAUUUGAAAGUGUUGGGAUUAUAGGCAUGAAUUCCCAUGCCUGACCUAUGUGCUGAUCAUAUUCAUUAGCAUUUAUUAAAGUAGAAAUUAAAACUGAG